CGUAAAGCGUGCGCAGGCGGUGUGCAAGACAGAUGUGAAAUCCCCGGGCUUAACUGGGAACUGCAUUUGUGACUGCACGGCUAGAGUGCGGCAGAGGGGAGUGGAAUUCCGGUGUAGGCAGUGAAAUGCGUAGAUAUGCGGAGGAACACCGAUGGCGAAGGCAGCUCCCUGGCCUGCAAUUUCUGACGCUCAUGCACGAAAGCGUGGGGAGCAAACAGGAUUAGAUACCCUGUAGUCCACGCCCUAAACGAUGUCAACUG
RNAcentral lists this ribosomal RNA (260 nucleotides) under uncultured Caldimonas sp. RNAcentral describes it as "partial 16S ribosomal RNA". It matches the Rfam family "Bacterial small subunit ribosomal RNA", at positions 559 to 818 of the family's 1533-position model. The record is from RNAcentral. Lineage: Bacteria; Pseudomonadati; Pseudomonadota; Betaproteobacteria; Burkholderiales; Sphaerotilaceae.